UACAGAGGUCCCCAAGCGUUGUUCGGAUUCACUGGGCGUAAAGGGUGCGCAGGUGGCCGCGCAAGUUCGAUGUGAAAGCCCCGGGCUUAACCCGGGAAUGGCAUUGAAAACUGCGUGGCUGGAGGAUCGGAGGGGGGACUGGAAUUCUUGGUGUAGCAGUGAAAUGCGUAGAUAUCAAGAGGAACACCAGUGGCGAAGGCGAGUCCCUGGACGAUACCUGACACUGAGGCACGAAAGCCAAGGGAGCAAACAGGAUUAGAACCGUACCG
This 269-nucleotide ribosomal RNA is filed under the name uncultured bacterium. Its description in RNAcentral is "partial 16S ribosomal RNA". It matches the Rfam family "Bacterial small subunit ribosomal RNA", at positions 524 to 788 of the family's 1533-position model. The record is from RNAcentral.